UACGUAGGGGGCAAGCGUUGUCCGGAUUUAUUGGGCGUAAAGAGCGCGUAGGCGGCCAGGUAGGUCUGCUGUGAAAACUCGAGGCUUAACCUCGAGAUGUCGGCGGAAACCAUCUGGCUAGAGUCCGGAAGAGGAGAGUGGAAUUCCAGGUGUAGCGGUGAAAUGCGUAGAUAUCUGGAGGAAUACCGGUGGCGAAGGCGGCAUCCUGGACCGACAUUGACGCUGAGGAGCGAAAGCCAGGGGAGCAAACGGG
RNAcentral lists this ribosomal RNA (253 nucleotides) under uncultured bacterium. RNAcentral describes it as "partial 16S ribosomal RNA". It matches the Rfam family "Bacterial small subunit ribosomal RNA", at positions 524 to 776 of the family's 1533-position model. The record is from RNAcentral.